AUGUACAUCCCUACAACAUAGCGCUAAUGAACCGGAUCCCAUUAGAACUCCACAGUUAAGCGCACUCAGGCUAGAUUAGUAUUGGGAUGGGCGACCACCUGGGAAGUCCUAGUAUUUUACAUU
This is a non-coding RNA of Picea glauca (white spruce), 123 nucleotides long. NCBI's taxonomy places the organism in Eukaryota, Viridiplantae, Streptophyta, Pinopsida, Pinales, Pinaceae. The record is from Rfam.